AAAUAUUCCACAACAUCGUCCUUGGCAAUGUAGUUUCCCCCCUCGGGAUUAAUAAAGUUAUCUUAUCUUAUCUUAUCUUAUCUUAUCUUAUCUUAU
Molecule: long non-coding RNA, 96 nt
Organism: Melanotaenia boesemani (Boeseman's rainbowfish)
Lineage: Eukaryota; Metazoa; Chordata; Actinopteri; Atheriniformes; Melanotaeniidae
Exons: 3
Source: RefSeq, a predicted model, not a curated record